UACGUAGGCAGCGAGCGUUGUUCGGAUUUACUGGGCGUAAAGAGCGUGUAGGCGGCCCGAUAAGUCCGCUGUGAAAGUCCAGGGCUCAACCCUGGGAUGCCGGUGGAUACUGUCGGGCUCGAGUCCGGAAGAGGAGUGUGGAAUUCCUGGUGUAGCGGUGAAAUGCGCAGAUAUCAGGAGGAACACCAAUGGCGAAGGCAGCACUCUGGGACGUGACUGACGCUGAGACGCGAAAGCGUGGGGAGCAAACAGG
RNAcentral lists this ribosomal RNA (253 nucleotides) under uncultured bacterium. RNAcentral's name for it is "partial 16S ribosomal RNA". It matches the Rfam family "Bacterial small subunit ribosomal RNA", at positions 524 to 776 of the family's 1533-position model. The record is from RNAcentral.